Molecule: non-coding RNA, 76 nt
Organism: Paramuricea clavata
Lineage: Eukaryota; Metazoa; Cnidaria; Anthozoa; Malacalcyonacea; Plexauridae
Source: the annotation of a GenBank genome assembly
UAGGCAUUAAAUGCUCAAACAGGGUGACAUUUUAUAUAUGUAUAAAAUGUCACCCUGUUUGAGCAUUUCAUGUUUC